Molecule: ribosomal RNA, 274 nt
Filed under: uncultured bacterium
Lineage: Bacteria
Description: partial 16S ribosomal RNA
Rfam family: Bacterial small subunit ribosomal RNA
Source: RNAcentral
ACACGGGGGGGGCAAGCGUUGUCCGGAAUUAUUGGGCGUAAAGGGCGCGUAGGCGGGCUGAUCAGUCCGAGGUGAAAGUUUUCGGCUCAACCGGAAAAUUGCCUUGGAUACUGUCAGUCUUGAGUUCGGAAGAGGGAAGUGGAAUUCCUGGUGUAGCGGUGAAAUGCGUAGAUAUCAGGAAGAACACCGGUGGCGAAGGCGGCUUCCUGGUCCGAAACUGACGCUGAGGCGCGAAAGCGUGGGGAGCAAACAGGAUUAGAAACCCGGGUAGUCC